Molecule: ribosomal RNA, 253 nt
Filed under: uncultured bacterium
Lineage: Bacteria
Description: partial 16S ribosomal RNA
Rfam family: Bacterial small subunit ribosomal RNA
Source: RNAcentral
UACGAAGGGGGCUAGCGUUGUUCGGAAUUACUGGGCGUAAAGGGCUCGUAGGCGGCCAACUAAGUCAGACGUGAAAUCCCUAGGCUCAACCUAGGAACUGCGUCUGAUACUGGAUGGCUUGAAUCCGGGAGAGGGAUGCAGAAUUCCAGGUGUAGCGGUGAAAUGCGUAGAUAUCUGGAGGAAUACCGGUGGCGAAGGCGGCAUCCUGGACCGGCAUUGACGCUGAGGAGCGAAAGCCAGGGGAGCAAACGGG